CCUACGGGUGGCAGCAGUGAGGAAUAUUGGUCAAUGGGCGAGAGCCUGAACCAGCCAAGUCGCGUGAAGGAUGAAGGAUCUAUGGUUUGUAAACUUCUUUUAUAUGGGAAUAAAGUGAGGCACGUGUUCCUUUUUGUAUGUACCAUAUGAAUAAGCAUCGGCUAACUCCGUGCCAGCAGCCGCGGUAAUACGGAGGAUGCGAGCGUUAUCCGGAUUUAUUGGGUUUAAAGGGUGCGUAGGUGGUUAAUUAAGUCUGCGGUGAAAGUUUGGGGCUCAACCACAAGAUUGCCGUUGAAACUGGUUAACUGGAGUGUAUGUGAGGUAAGCGGAAUGCGUGGUGUAGCGGUGAAAUGCGUAGAUAUCACGCAGAACUCCGAUUGCGAAGGCAGCUUACUAAACUAUAACUGACACUGAGGCACGAAAGCGUGGGGAGCAAACAGGAUUAGAUACCCCAGUAGUC
Molecule: ribosomal RNA, 460 nt
Filed under: uncultured bacterium
Lineage: Bacteria
Description: partial 16S ribosomal RNA
Rfam family: Bacterial small subunit ribosomal RNA
Source: RNAcentral